This 497-nucleotide ribosomal RNA is filed under the name uncultured bacterium. Its description in RNAcentral is "partial 16S ribosomal RNA". It matches the Rfam family "Bacterial small subunit ribosomal RNA", at positions 28 to 507 of the family's 1533-position model. The record is from RNAcentral.
GAUGAACGCUGGCGGCGUGCCUAAUACAUGCAAGUCGAGCGAACAGACGAGGAGCUUGCUCCUCUGACGUUAGCGGCGGACGGGUGAGUAACACGUGGAUAACCUACCUAUAAGACUGGGAUAACUUCGGGAAACCGGAGCUAAUACCGGAUAAUAUAUUGAACCGCAUGGUUCAAUAGUGAAAGACGGUUUUGCUGUCACUUAUAGAUGGAUCCGCGCCGCAUUAGCUAGUUGGUAAGGUAACGGCUUACCAAGGCAACGAUGCGUAGCCGACCUGAGAGGGUGAUCGGCCACACUGGAACUGAGACACGGUCCAGACUCCUACGGGAGGCAGCAGUAGGGAAUCUUCCGCACUGGGCGAAAGCCUGACGUAGCAACGCCGCGUGAGUGAUGAAGGUCUUCGGAUCGUAAAACUCUGUUAUUAGGGAAGAACAAAUGUGUAAGUAACUAUGCACGUCUUGACGGUACCUAAUCAGAAAGCCACGGCUAACUACGUG